This 159-nucleotide ribosomal RNA is filed under the name Globisporangium hypogynum. RNAcentral's name for it is "Pythium hypogynum 5.8S ribosomal RNA". It matches the Rfam family "5.8S ribosomal RNA". From Rfam's summary of the family: 5.8S ribosomal RNA (5.8S rRNA) is a component of the large subunit of the eukaryotic ribosome. Lineage: Eukaryota; Oomycota; Peronosporomycetes; Pythiales; Pythiaceae. The record is from RNAcentral.
CAACUUUCAGCRGUGGAUGUCUAGGCUCGCACAUCGAUGAAGAACGCUGCGAACUGCGAUACGUAAUGCGAAUUGCAGAAUUCAGUGAGUCAUCGAAAUUUUGAACGCAUAUUGCACUUUCGGGUUAUACCUGGAAGUAUGUCUGUAUCAGUGKCCGUA